RNAcentral lists this long non-coding RNA (2194 nucleotides) under Nicotiana tabacum (common tobacco). RNAcentral's name for it is "long non-coding RNA (NTAB_LNC007014)". The record is from RNAcentral. Lineage: Eukaryota; Viridiplantae; Streptophyta; Magnoliopsida; Solanales; Solanaceae.
UCGGAAAAGAUGUAUGUAUGUCCAGGAGAGACACUAAGUGCAAUAUGUUCAUCCUAGUUAAGAAUAUUUUCAAAAGUAUAUUUUCCUAGAACAUUUCCUCCAAGUAAUUAUUUAUUUGAAAUAGUUUGAGAGAAAAUAAAAAGAAAAAGAGGAGUAGGACGAAGGUCAAAUCUCGAUUUUCCACUCCCUCACUAAGAUUAUACGGUGAGAUAUACCUGCUGAAUGUUUCUGCCAAUCAGGUAUGGGUUUCACAGCCUGUCUAGUCACUUUCUUUGAAACAUUGCUAGCUCGGAGAAGCUUCAUCUCAGCUUCCCGUCCUGCGUCUUUUUACAUUUCAACUCUUUCAGCUUCCAGCCUAGCCUGCAUAUGAUGGAAUAAAACUUAUUAUUACCCACAAGGACAAAAUUCAAUAAAACACUACCACUUUAAUUGUUUGCAGAAUGAUUAAAAAUAACUAAUUCAGACAAUUCAUUUGGCAGUAGAUGCGACGUGAUAGGAGACAGAUAGACAGCUAGAUUUCAUAGGAAAGCCAAGGAUGCUAGAACCUGGGGAAAGUGAGCAUUGUCACUUGUAGAAGUAUGCUACAGAGAGGAAAAAAGCAGUUUCAAUAAUUAUUAAGAUUCAACAAUUAAGACUCAAGGGCAUGUGACCAGAAAGGCAAGUGGAUAAAUAUAGUUUUCUUCUGAAUUUUCUUCUUCCGGAAGAAAGUUUUGUAGUAAGCAUAUGCACUAAUUUCCAAUGAGCAUAUCUGAUAUCAUAUUGUAAAUCUCUCUAGAUAGCAAAAAAAAUACUUACCUAGUCUUUGCUCUGAUCCUUUCUUGCCGGGCUUUUUCUUCUUGAAGAGCUUUUUCUUUUCUCUUGGUUUCUUCUCGAUCUGUAACAUUUCUUUUUCUCCUUUUUCACUUUUAGAUUUGUGCUCGUGAUCCCUUCGCACAACAAUUAUGUGAUCAUCAAGUAUUUUCACACUCCAGUAAUAAUAUUGAAGUCAGAUGUAUAUUCUCAGUAAAAUUAAAUUAAACUGUAAAAAUUUGUAAUUGUAAUUAAACUUCGAAAUCUGGGUACUCCAAACAUGUAUAGAAUGAACAACAAACAUUAACAAAAAUUUAAGAUUAAGGAGGUUGCUAGCCUAUAUAGCUUUAAUUGCAUGUUCUUCUCAUAUCUUAAUCCCCGGUAUGGAGAAUGUACAAAAAUUAACAUUGAACAUUUGUGAAAAAACAUAGGCUAAAUUGGUCAAGUAUGGAAAUAAAUAGUCAUAUAACCACAAUGACUCAGUCUGAAUUGAUAAAAUUUACACACCGAAAUAAUUCAAGGCCUACUAUCUCAGUCUAAUCCAGUUAGCUAUGUUUGUAUAUGCAACAGUGGUUCCAUCAGUAGAGAAAAGGUAGGUAUCACUGAUAAAUACAUCAAAAUCGAAUUUUCAUGAUGUCUUGGUCUUUCGCAUGUGAUCUUCAACAAAGCACAGUAAUUAGCUUUUCGACCAACCUAUUGGUAUAUCAUUGUCCCUUGAUAAUUUUACAUGCCUGGAAAAAGGAUAACAGAGAAUAGCUCAAAAAUUGUGAAACAUGAAGUUAUAACACAUCAAAUGAUGCUUGCUAAGUAUUUAAUUUCUGCUGCUGUAAUCCUUCAUUUUCUGUAAAGAUAAAGAAAGAAUACAAAGAAAAUCAUGGCUUUUCUCUGGGAGUGGAAAUUUCAUCUCUUACUCUAGGAGCAAAAAAUAAUCAAAACCCCACGCAAUACAAACCAAGAAGCACAACCAAAUAUUUCAAGAAAUAAUAACCAACCCAUUUAACCAAAUAGCUCAAAACUUCAAAAAACAAUCAAAACUUUAACGCAGAACUACACUAAAACCAAUAAAACCCAACUAAAGUUUAAAACAAGAAGUUCAAACGAAAAUAUAAAAAAUAUUAAUGGAAACUUGAAGUUGAUUUUUAGAAAUUGCAACCGUCUCUAUAUUGAUCCCUAAAUCCCUCCUUAUGAUGUUAAUGGAAACUUGUGCAAUUUGUGUCCCCUCGAGAGCAUCCAAUUGAAAAGAAUAAAUUGUUACUAUCGUCUUUGGGUUUAAUAUCCUAUUUCACUUACGAUUAAUAUUUCACUUUUUGAUGAUGUGUUUCAGCAAUGGAAUAUUGAAAGUGCAAGAAGAAGAUCAAGGGAAAAGCAAACGAUUUGGGAAGAGAAGUGUUCAGUAUAACUUGCG